Paramacrobiotus metropolitanus is the source of this 1851-nucleotide long non-coding RNA. RefSeq lists it as uncharacterized. Lineage: Eukaryota; Metazoa; Tardigrada; Eutardigrada; Parachela; Macrobiotidae. The transcript is spliced from 4 exons. The record is from RefSeq and is a predicted model, not a curated record.
GUCAAUGGCGGCGGAUCUGAUGGGAAUCACCGUUGCGGCACAGUCGACGGGGAGGAAUAUGUCAUCCUUUGGUGAAGUCUCGGCUGGCCCAAGAAUUAAAAGGAAGGCAUUAUAUUUCCCCUAUUUUGGCCUGCUGUAAUAAGCCAUUAACGCACCAACACUGUCGGAACCAUUCGUAUUCGCAACCACGUUGCAGCCGUUCCAGAUUCUCCCUGACCGGCAUUUCGAAAAUUUCCAUUCCGCUGAAACCGUGCUCCAAAGUCAGAAAGCGCAACACAGACAGAUCCGUGAAUGUUUCCGGCUCCAGAAAGUGUAGCGUUGUGUUCAGGAACUGGAUAAUCCGGAGCUUGCUGGAUGCCAGAAUUCACCCCACCUGACUUCCAAAUUUUUAACAGUCAGUGGAGCAAAAUUCCAGCAGAUUCGGCAUGCGCAGUGCUGACAGUUUGCCCGUGGUGCGCGAUGGCUGCCACAGGUAGAGCUGCAUACUAACCGUCUGGUCGCGCACUGGAGAAAGGACGUCUUGACGCGCGUUCCUCAAGCGGAAAACUCAAAGGACACUGCAUUUGGUGCCAUGGAAAUCUCCUUUGCGCAAAACCAUAUCGGCACCCUGAUGGGAGGAAUUUACACUGAAGCAUCGUUGCGCCACCGACGCUACGCACGAUGUCCCGCGGUAACGCAUUGUCGCAAUGACAGCAAGUGCCCCAGCGGAUGUCGGUGUCGACGAAACGUCAGUAGUAUGUGCACUGGUCCGGCAGCAUCUCUGAUUGGUCAGACACGCCUCCUCUCUGAUUGGUCAGACACGCCUCCUCUCUGAUUGGUCAGACACGCCUCCUCUCUGAUUGGCCAGACGCGCCCCUCGCUCUGAUUGGUCGAAACCGAGACUGAGGCCGAGACAGGGCCGCUAGUCCGGCAGCAUCUCUGAUUGGUCGAAACCGAGACUGAGGCCGAGACAGGGCCGCUAGUCUGGCUGCCUACUCUGCUUGGCUGACUCCACCUCCAAUACCGAGACUGAGCCCGAAACAGGACCGCUAGUCUGGCUGCUUGCUCUUAAGCCGAGACUGAGACCGAGGCAGGACCGCUAGUCUGUCUGCUUGCUCUUAAACCGAGACUGAGGCCGAGACAGGACCGCUGAUAUGGCAGCCCACCGUGAAGAUUACUUGGUCGGCGGUUACCUAACCCGUGCACCAUUGAAUCAGACCAAUUAGACCAAUUAUCACAAUAAUCGCAUUGUUUGUUAUCCAAAUAACCACAGACAAACUUCAUCCAGCAGUUUUCCAAUGGUACCGAGAAGUUCGCGUAAGCGUCAAAUAUACAAAACUAGUUUUUGAAUAACGGCUUAUCAAGACGACAAAUGCAUAGGCCAUUGUUUCGCUUGCCAACGACCAAACGAACGGUGACGUGUGGAAAAUUGCAUAGGACGAGGCUUUGCUUUACCGCUUAGAAACAAAGUACAUCGAUACACUGUCCAAAUACAGCGUCUACGACGUCACUGGCGCUCCAUCGCCAGUCGAGUUCUUUCGCCAGCGGAAUUUCAACAUCUGUUCGAUGCCAAACCGGACGGUUCUGGGCUGAAGAAGGCCAUGGACAAAGGAGUUCGCCUGGUGUAUGCCGAUAUCAACUGUUUGUUGGGGAUGAUUAGAAACGGGACACUGCAGGAUUGUAUGGACCGGGCCAUUAUCGACAAGGGUGCUGAAAAGUUUUCUCUGCCGGGUCAGGGCUGUGUGGAUGUUACUGUCAGCAUCCACCCGAAAUACGGACGCAUGAUCCGUUUCUCUUAACCUCGGCGCACCAUUCAACUACGAUAUCAGGGAUUUAUCAAUCUCAUGGAGGAAAUCUACAUCCAGCACUGGG